UCUCACUUACCCCUUCGUGGGCUAACACUAUAUAUACCCCCACCUCCUCCUAGAUAGGGUUAGCAUAGGUUUAGCUCAUAUUAGAGAUAGAGCUUUGCUCAUCCAUUAGGAUCUACUCCACGAGAGAGACCGCGGCCCCUCUACGGAGAAGAUCCCCCUUGGAUUCAAGACCUCCUCACGGAGAAGACCCCCUUCAAGACCAACUCACGGAGAAGAACCGGUUACCUUUGUCCUUUGUUGACUUUGGAUCUUGUAUCUCCUCUUGUGUUGCGAGGAUCUAGCACAUGUGUGGCUACAUCUUGUUGGUUUGAGAGUUCCUCUUGUGUUUUCCCUUGUGAUUCCCCGUGUGUUCUUCGUGUUCUUAGUUGGGAUCCGCUCCUUUCGUGAAAGAUCGGCCGUAUAGGGUUCCACCCUACAUCAUCUUGGUAUCAUGAGCCACGUUGAUCACGAUUUCGGAGCCUCCCCGUUGUGUUUUCUAGCCUAGUUUUGUUGAUUUUGUCCCAAAUUCGAAAAUCCCCACCAAAAAAUAGCCCCCAAUUUUUUUUGUGAUUUGUUGGUGUGAUGAUGUUUUGUUGAAUUUGAUCCGUGGAUUUGCUUUGUUACUUGUGGAUCUAGCUUUCCCCCAUUUUUUCCCACUUUCCAUCCACGAAAUCUCCACAAUUUUGCCCCCGAAAUCAUCAAUUUCCGCCCCCAAAAUCGAGUUCCUCGAGUUCAUCCUCGGAUUUGGAGCCCGGACAUCCGGCCCGUAGCCCCGGACAUCUGGCCCCCCGGACAUCCGGCCCGUAGCCCGGACAUCCAGCUCCUGGAGCGCAAUUUCGCGCGCGGUUCUGGACAUCAGGUCUCGGAAAUCCGGCCCGUGCCCCGGAUGUCCGGCCCCUGACAUUUCAGCCUUCCCCGUUUCACCGUUUUGUCCAUAACUAAUUCAUAUGGAGUCCGUUUUUGACGUUCUUUAGCUCGUUUUGAAGCUAUUGACAUUCCCAUAACACAAAAACACUACCAUCCCCAUUUGACUCCAUUAAAUUUUUGGAACUUUGGCAUCUUUGCCUAGGGCUUCCACCAUAACUUCCGCAAAACCACCAUAGCCUUCCGCAACCUAACCCAAUUUGUUCGCCAUAGCAUUAGUGGUUGUUUGAGUUGCGAUUCGAGUCUCCUAAGGUGUUUCGGCUACUUAGGGACGAUUGCUUCUUCAUCAACCACCACCAUAACUUCCGCAUAGGCUUGCCCACCAUACACUUCCACCAUCCCAACUUAACCCAAUUUUGUUUGUGUUAUGAAUUGUGUCUCCUAAGGUAUUUCGGCUACUUAGGGUCCGUGCUUCCAACUCCGACACCGUGUAUAGUCCACCACCUUACACUCCACUUCCACAUUGCGUCUCAAAACCCAUUGUUGCAUUUCCGCAAUCCCUUUGAGUUUCCGCAAAACCACCACCGCAUUCCCGCUACCACCAUUUAACAUUUGACAUUUGAGAUUUUGAGUUCGCGGUUUUCACGUUUCCUAAGGUGUUUCGGCUACUUAGGGACGAGUCUCCAUCAUCUUGGUAUCUCCAUCAAGAUCACCACCACUCAUCAUCGCCAAGGACGGUAACCUCCAUAUCUUCUUGGUAUCGUGGUAUCCCUCCAUUGUAUAUUACCUUGCAAUUGCAUUGAUAACCCCUAGCCCAUUUUGCGUCACUUGCCUAUCGAGACUAGCCAUUUGAGUAUUGUCGGCAACGUUACUUGUGCACAUUAGUGAUCUACACCUUCCAUUGCAUACAUACCAUAUCAUAUUGGUAUCAUAUAAUCUCGUGUGCCUCAAGUUUGUUCCCGCAUAUACAAUUUCUAUCUUGGUUUGUGCAUUUCGCAAAGUGGCCAUACAUAUAAAAAAAGAGAAUAAGCUUUUAAGCAAAAGAGCAAAGAGCUUGUAAGCAAGUGCCAUAGCAUCAUACCACAUUGCAUAUAAGAUUGUCAUAUCUGAUCAUCUUGGAUCUUCUUGAGAGAAACACCGGGAACCAUACAUAUAUAGCAUACUUGGGAUAGAAAGUUUCUCCAUUUUGCAUAUCAUAGGUCGUGCACAAGUGACGUAUCCGCCUAUAGAGCAAUCGUGCUAGCGUCUCUCUUGAGUUGUGCAACACGAGCGUUUUCCGUGGAUUCCACAUUUUGUGCUCAUUCCUUGGUUGCACAACCCCAUUUAUCUAUCCGUGUGUGUGUUUCCGUGUGCCAUUCAUUGCUAUUGGUCUACUUGUUUCACUUGCGAAUUUGUGAAUCUCUUUCAACAUUAUUGACUCUUGCUAACAUUUUGCAUCAAAUUUUUGUGCUACUAUCCUCACCGAGCUCCAUCAUAAGCCUUACUUGUGUAGGUGUGAGAAACCGACAAGAAUUGGUACCAAUUGUGCUAUUUCCUUGUUACACAUUGAGUGAUCAUUGAUCCAUCUUCAACAUCGAUCAAGGUACAUUUGGUAUAGUUCUUCUCUUUCUCCCACUCAUAUUUGCUCGAGUCUUGUGAUGGAUAGGCAAGGCAUUUCAUCUCCGGUCUUCGACAACAACGACGGCGUGAACAACUACAUCACCAAAUCGUCCAUCUUCGAACUACAACGAGCAUCGAAAGCCGCACAUUAUACCUUGCAAGAGCGCAUCGAGAACCUCUCCAUCGACAUUCAUCACUCCGAAGCAAGGAAAAUGGACUACAUCGACAACAAGCUUUCCGCACAAAAGGAGGAGCAAGAUGCAAGAAUGAAGGAGAUUCGGGCCUUGAUCAAGUCUACUUCCAAUUCGUCAUCUUCAAGGCGGCGGCGAGCAAGUCGACCAUCUUCGGAGCGCCCAAGCGAUGCAAGCGCAAUUCGUCCACGUCCACAUCUACAUGGCGACCACCAUCACGUUCGUGAUCCACAUCGCCAUGAAGGGCAAGUCACCUCCAAGCAUCAUGUGCACGAUGACGACGAACGACAUCUACUACGAGCUCAAGUACGACAACGACACCAUCAACAUGAAGAUGCUCGAGAUGCGCCUACCUUCAAGUCCCAACAAGCCCUACUUCGCGCCAAGGACAAACUUCAUGAGCAAAAGAGAAGACCGCGAGACGAGCACCACCAAGACGGAGCUACGGCUACAACAACCACUUCGGCAUCUUCGCCAAGAGCUAUUAAGGCAUCUUCGCCUUUGGACGUACGGCAUCUUCGCCUACUUCCCGUGCGUUCGCCUACAUCGACAUCUUCAACAACAAGGCGACGACCUAUGAGCGAGGGUGACACUUCCAUCUUCGAAAGCCCCUCAAGGAAGAUGGCCGAGCAUGGGAAUUUCCCUUCGGUCAUGGAGACGAGCUACGAGGUGCCACAUCAUAUGGGCCUCCAACAACAAGACGGCGACAAGAAGGUUGAGCAUGGGACUAUCCCUUCAACCAAGGCGGCGAUAGGAGUUGACCAUGGAGACAUUUGCACCAACAUCUCUCCGACACCCACAUAUGAAGAGAUGCCCCAAUUCCCAUGUGAGGAGAGCCACACCACCAUGAAUGAUAUGAGUGGCUCCACCACAUGUGACAUUGAGUGCAUUUCCUAUGAGAGGAUGAGUGUGACCACCACUAGCCCCACACAUGAGAGCAUGCCACACAUCCUAUGUGAGGUUGAGAGCCAUUUGAGUGACUCCACCAACCAUAUGAGUGAGAGAAUCUUACCGGGAGUGAGUGAGCCACAACACUUAGUGAGUGAGGUAGUUGACACGGCAUGUGAGGCCACUAUGAUUUCUAACGACUUAACCUCUACUCCGAGUGUGUUUUCUUCUUUGGUGCUAGGUCUCCUAGAUGACGACAUGCCUAUCCUCGACGAGUCCGUACCUCAAUUAGAGACGACGAUGGCCAUUGUGGACGACGAUGCACCACCCACAUGGUUCCAUCAAGAUGAAGAUGACAACGAGUGGAUCUUCGACACCUCACCUACAACACAUAAGCGAUGCUCCAAAGGUAACAUAGGUGAUGGUGCUUCUCUUGCCCCACUAGUGGAAUAUCUCACCAAUGAUUGCUUGCAUGAUGUUGAUCCACCUAUUCCCAUGCUUCAUGCUAGUGCGACUUCUUCAUGUCAUGACUUACCCAUUUAUGAUGAAUAUGAUGAUGAGCAUGUUGAGUUGCCUAGUUGUGAUGCUAUGCUCCAUAGGAUAUCAUGUGAAAAUUCUUUUGGUCACAUCAUGUUCGACAACCCUUUAAACUUGUCAUAUGCUAUGAGUGAGAUCUCCCAUAUUGCAUCAUUUCAAUCUCAACAUAGUAACUAUGCAUGCCCCAUUAAAAUAAAUCCCAUUUGCACUUAUGGCAUAGAUGACGAAAUGAUGGUCAUUGGCUUUUGUUUUUCUUGUGAUGAUAUUGUCAUGCUUCCUUUACAUGAUUUACGCAAUUCAUCUACUAUGCCAUGCCAUGAUCACAUUGUUCCAAAUAUGCAUUGUUUUGGAUGUUGUCAAUAUUCUCCAUGUGAUGUUUCCAUUAAUGCUCAUGAGGAGACCCCCAUAGUUUCCUCAUACAUAUUAGGAGAUUUUGAUGCAUUCCAUACUUUGCAUGAUUCCCAUAAUUGCGUGCACCAUAUGCAUUCCAUGAAUAAUAAUGCUCUACAUAUUUCUUGUGAUGCUUUACACAAUUUGAGUCUCCAUUAUGAUAUACAUAAUAACAAACCUCUCAUGAUGGAUGACAUGUUUCUAUAUCACGCAUCCCAUUUAUUUGAGCAUUGGCUAUUUUGUGCUAACCAACACAUGCACGUGCGCAUCAUGAUGGAUGAUGUGUACAUCUACCACGCACACAUAAUUUUUCCUUUGCCUUUGUUUUGUGUAGGUACUCAUGUAUACUUGUCAACCUCUCAAUCCCAAGAGUUGACGAAACGAGCUCUUGAGAGCAACGACGAUUUGGGAUCCCGUGGACUAUCCUUACCACCGUUCCAUUUGCGCAAGGACUAUGCGCAUCUCUUCUACUUGGCUCUCACACGGCUUUGGGCUAUUUACCACUUGUCACCUUAUGCCCCUUCUAUCGUGUUCACUUUGCAUGUUAUGCCUCUUUACAUGACUUUGCCAUGCAAUUGUGACCCUUGCUUGCAUCUACCCAUAAUUCACCAUUAUUCUACUCCUAUGUAUAUUUGCAUGUUUGGUGAAGAUCCUUGUUGCUAUUGCCAUGUUUAUCAUGUGCCUCAUGCUAUUGUUGAUUCUUGUGUUGGGAGAGUCAUGAUGUUCCAUUGCUAUUUACAUAGGACUUCUUGCCAAUACAAUGAUGAUACUUUCCUCAUAUCUCGCUUUCAUGCUUGUGAUAUGUCAUGUGCUUUAUUCAUGCCCACUAUUUGCACACAUGACAUGAUUGCCAUGAUUCCUUCUAGUAUGUUGCAUCUUCGCACUACUAGCUUGCUUGACUUGAUCGCUAUGAUUACUUGCUUUGAUGCAUCACCCAUGUUCCAUUCUUACUCGCUUUCUUGGGUUGAUGACAUAUAUGUUCAUGCCUCUCACAUGAUAUAUCUUGAUCUUUGUCACUUGUCUCCAUUAGAUGCACCUCUCAUAUGCCAUUGUAGUGAGUGCACCCAUGUUAUGCUUAUUGAUCGUGGAGACUUGGACAUAUUACUUGUGAUGCAUGCUUGCUUGUUUAAGCCUAUUGUCUUUGGUUGUAGUUGCAUCAUAUGCUUUCAUACCAUACGACACCUUGUCCUUUCUUAUGAUAAUAAUGAUGAGAACACUUGUUGGGUAUCUUACAACUCGAAUGAUAGGUUUUGCAUUUUCGCUAACCUCAUUUGUUUUUCCGAGUGUUUGUCAUGUUAUUUCGUUUUGAAGGAUUCACAAGGCAUUACUGUCAUGAGACAUAUUGGGUAUGUGAAGGCAUACAAGAUGCGCAACACCAACAUUUUCGACAUCCUCCUAAAGGUGCACUCUUUCCCUUUGAGCCCUCUUCACAUAGGCAUAUUGGAUGGGUCAUUCUUUCAUUGUUGUUUCCUUCUUCUUGUCUACAUGAUACAUCUAUUGGAUGGAGGACCGACAUUGGAGAUCGACCCUAUGGACCAUCACAUUGAGGAGCGCUCGGACUUAUUGGAUGCACCUUCGAACCUCCACUCAUGCCACGACAUCGAGCAUUGGUACAUCAACACUCCUUUGACACAUUGCACCCCCACCUUCAUAUUUGUUGAUUGUGCUCAUACAUGUCAUGCUCGAUGGACAUAUCAUACCCAUAGCAAAUUUGCAUCUUAUGCAUGGAUUGACUCACCUUAUGAUUGCCUUGUUGCAUCUUGUAUUUCGAUGUCAUCCAUGAUAUAUGAGCUUGUGCACUUCCUUAGCAAAUUUGUUGUGAUUUUUUUUGAUGGCAUAUUCAUACAUCAUGAUCAUAUUGCCUACCAUCAAUUGCAUGAUAACAUAAUCAUUUUGAGUAUACAUUGCCAUAUUCAUGCUAUUGAUAAACCUUCCCACUAUGACAUCAUUUUGCACCGUGGUUGCAUUGAUCACAUUCACUUUACAUUUGUGUGCACAAUAAAUGCUUUUGCUCCCAUGAAUGCUUUACAUGUCAUUUUACAUCAUUUGGAUAAGCAUCUCAAGCCUUUUCAUGAACAAUUCCUUCGGACGAACUCAUACUUACUUGAUGGACACUUUGUGUGCGCUAACCAUUGUAUUUCCGAGUGUCGCUUGUGUUUGCUAUUUUUGCAUGUAUACCACUUCGGAGACACCUUGCAGUACUUGGAUUGCAAAAUGUCUUCAACUCCAUCCAACUACAAGUUCGUCCACGACUACCGUUUUCAUGGUGAUGAGGAUCACGAUCCGAGGUCGGAUCUUUCCCAAGGGAGGGGAGAUGAUGCGGAGCAUACUACGAUCAUCCCCAUGUACACUACAACGAGACCUCAACCUUACACCAUUGGACACAAGGUGAACUCGCUCCUUUCCGAAGCGUCCCUUUCCGCAUAUAAGACAUGGAUGCUACUUCAAGCCCGGACCUUGUGCAUACUCAGGUACACCCGAGGAGACCAUGGAGAGCCCAAGGACCAAGGCCAAGUGUGCGCGGGAGCAAAGGAAGGAGAAGGAAGAAGUGCAAGCUGCUACAGUAGCCGGACAUCCGGCCCCUGGCCCGGACAUCCGGCCUCUGAAGAUGUCAACAACAGCAGCAACCCAGCAACCGAAGUGCUACAGGUCCCGGACAUCCGACCAGACCCCGGGCAUCCAGCCCCUCCCGCAAACCCGGACAUCCGGCCCCAGCCCGGAAAUCCGGCGCCCAUCACAGAACGCACCCGAAGCUGAACCCCGUCAGCCCGGACAUCCGGCUCUUCGUGAGCCGCCGGACAUCCGGCCCCCAGCCCGGACAUCCGGCACCUGCCUGUGCGCAGAGAUCGGGCCAAGGGCCCGUGUAUCCCCCUCUCACUUACCCCUUCGUGGGCUAACACUAUAUAUACUCCCCCACCUCCUCCUAGCUAGGGUUAGCAUAGGUUUAGCUCAUAUUAGAGAUAGAGCUUUGCUCAUCCAUUAGGAUCUACUCCACGAGAGAGACCACGGCCCCUCUAUGGAGAAGAUCCCCCUUGGAUUCAAGACCUCCUCAUGGAGAAGAACCGGUUACCUUUGUAUCCUCCUUUGUUGACUUUGGAUCUUGUAUCUCCUCUUGUGUUGCGAGGAUCUAGCACAUGUGUGACUAUAUCUUGUUGGUUUGAGAGUUCCUUUUGUGUUUUCCCUUGUGAUUCCCCAUGUGUUCUUCGUGUUCUUAGUUGGGAUCUGCUCCUUUCGUGAAAGAUCGGCCGUAUAGGUUCCACCCUACAUCAGAUGUUUCAAUUGAAGAAGGGAAUGCAAUUUUGUUUGGUCGAUGUAUGUAUGUAUUCCUAUUGCCUGUACUAAUUGGCAUAGGCUUGCCGUAUGACGGAAGGAAGCAGAGAAACUGCGUGCGAACUACCGUAUCAAGUGGUGCUUCCUUCCUGUUGACGCAUGCAUUUUGCACGUGAUCACCGCCCGCCUUGCUGGUGCGCUGUUUGGCUUUCUGCCAUGCGUGUCCUUGAGUGUAUUCAUGCUUCACUGCACUGUCUCUAGUUAAGUUGCCUGAAAUCUCGAUUUCGACCUGGAGUUGCCUUGUCCUUGAGAUUACCAAUUUCAGUUAAAAAGUGCAGUCUACAAGGAGAGGUACGUGGGGAAGAAAUGAAUGUGAGCGAUGGCGAGUAGCAGGGGCAGAGUCUGUUCGCCGCAGCCUAGCUUGCGCGAUCGGCACGGGUGACGGAGACAGACGGCUGCCCACGUUGACCUCCAAG
This 8194-nucleotide long non-coding RNA is filed under the name Triticum aestivum (bread wheat). RNAcentral describes it as "long non-coding RNA (TAES_LNC024138)". Lineage: Eukaryota; Viridiplantae; Streptophyta; Magnoliopsida; Poales; Poaceae. The record is from RNAcentral.